RNAcentral lists this long non-coding RNA (3185 nucleotides) under Marmota monax (woodchuck). The stretch from base 1905 to 1973 matches the Rfam family "tRNA". Lineage: Eukaryota; Metazoa; Chordata; Mammalia; Rodentia; Sciuridae. The record is from RNAcentral.
CCAGGGGCUUGGGCAACAAGAUGCUCUUCGGGAAAACCAGGGCACCUACAGGAGCAGCGUGGGCAUUAUAAAGACAUUCUGUUGAGAAAUAUUAAAAAACAAAUUCUGUCUGUACUUGGAAACCCCCUUGCCUUAAAGUGAAGUGCACUGAAGAUCAAUAUGCAAUCUUGUAUUUUUUCCUCUUGACUCUCUGAAAUCCCCAGAUCUGUCUUGUUUAUAAUUCCUUGUGAUUUGCAUCUUAUCUUUCCUCCCCAGGCCCAGCCCAGGCUGAGCUCCAUGCACCAGGAGACCUGUUCUGGCUGCUUCCUCCCCCAGCUGCCCUGGUGACUCUGCCCACUUACAGCAAGAGCUUAGUGUCAAAGAGGCAUUUGAACGUGUAACAGCCACCCUGCCCCCUUUUUUACUACCUUCAACUUUUAAGUGGUUUCUAAUUCUCCCUGGAAGUUAAGGUUCCUAAAGCCGUGGAUGAGCUUCUGAAUCCAUUCGUCACUCAUAACAGGCUGAGUUUUCUGUCAUCCUCUGGUAGAGUGUGUCCCAUUGACAGGCUAGCAGGUGUAAAUUGUCUCUCCGUUGAUUUACUUAGACAUCACACACGUUCUUUCUACCCCUCUUCAGAUCUUCUGCACUCUUCCCAGGACACCCUCCACGAAGUAUAACCAACAAGAACAUCUUCCGAUGUCACCAAAUGUCCCCCAGGAGUGAAUCUCCCCUCAUUCAGUACUACUGGGUAAAUGAUUCAGCAUUAAGGUGCUUUCCAAAGUGUUUUUGUUUUUUAAAUUCAAUUCCUAAGCCUUUGCUUAUAUCAUCCUUCUUCUUGGGGCUUAGGACCAUUUUCUUUACCUGGGCAAACCUCUGGGAAGCUGAGCCAGGCCAGACCAUGGAGGCUGACCCAAGGUCCAAGAUUGGCGAACACAGGUGAACAGUUCAGAUCUUCUACGUUGGAUUCUUAUGACAGCAGAACUCGACCAAGGCCUUGCUGUUGAUGUCAUUAGAUUCCUGGUAUUUCCAGGGCUGCGGCUUGGUCUUGCCUUCCUGCAUCCAGCACUGUGACCUCUUUCCUGUAGUUGCUUUGAGGCUCUUGUUGGAAGUGGCCAUUCAGUGCUUGACCAGUCCAUCUUCUCUCUUUGUAGCCACCACAGCCCCAUUCUACAGCCCUCCUCACCCCCACUUAGAUUUCAAGUGCCUUGGGGCCAGGAGCUAUGUUCUAUUCCACUGUUUGAUUACAUAAUUUCCUCCAUGGAACAGGGGCUGAAUCUAUAUUUUAUAAAUUGAGGAAACAUGAAAUAAAGUACCAUCUUGUAGAAUCAAGAAGAGCCCUGUGUUAGCGCUUCACACUUACCCUCUCUGCCGAUCACUCACACCUGUGUGUGCACUGACGGGCGACGGAGCUGGGGUCCUAGGAUGGGUAGUGUGUACUGGUGUGUUUUCACUCAGUGGCCUCUGGGGAUCCUGGGAAAGUCGACCUCUCAUGAGCAGAUAUUUUCCUAAGUGGAAUAAGGGAGCAUUGUCCUGAUUCUUAACAUGAUUGUGAGAGGCUUCGAAUUAUGCUUCAGAGUCUAAAAUAUAUUUAUCAGCAAAUAUGAAUCAAACUGAUGUCAUGUAGGGGUCUCUCUGUGCUGGUAAUUCCUUCCAGAGCUGAGGAAGGUCAGUUUUUUAGGCCUUCAAGGGCUCUUUGCAUCCAUAAUUUCAGCAAUACCAUGGCCGGCUCCCUGUUGAGGAUUGGAACCGAUAGAGGACCUUGACAAAGAGAAACCCAUAGAAUUAAGAAGACAGCAUCAAGCUUACAGAGUUUGAUAAGGUAGAGAUCUGCACGAUGAAUUUUUAUACAUCUUUUGGCACGUGUUUUUCCACUUUUGGAAUCAAAAUCAAACAAAGAAGCUUUUCAGGAACAAUUUUAAGGGUCUGGGGCUGUAGCUCAGUGGCAGAGCAUUUGCCUAGCAUACAGGAGGCCCCGGGUUUGAUCCCCAGCACCACAAAAAGCAAACAAAUAAAAAAUUUUAACUUUGAAGGUAUUUGCACUUAGGUUCUGAGGGGCAGAAUGAGCCUGCGGAUGAUGAAGUGGGCUUUCCUGAUUGCUCAGGACCCCAGAAUCAUGGGGAAUAUUUACAGAUGCCUGUAUUCACUGCUCUCCUCUGAAUAAAUUUUAUGUGCUUAAAAAAUGCUUUUCGAACAAUCAACCUGCAAAUUUUUACCAUGAAGCGAUAGCAUAUAGCAAAAUAGUGACACAGGACUGUCACCAGUUUCAGGUACUUGAACAUCUUUAUUUUGAUGAAUUUCUCCUCUUGAAACUGCCUCACCGAGAACCAUUUCCUUAUAAAAUUCACUUACCUGCCUGAUGCUCAGCCCAGAAGCAGCCGUGAAGUGCAUCUUUCAUUUACUUUUUUUCAAGAUUAAAAAUCAUAGCUUGAAGGUGUUUUUACUAAAUGAUGUGAAUAAUGCUAGGGAAAGAAGUGGCAACUAGUAUGCUUUUAAAAAUUAUUCCACAAAUGAGACCUUCUAUCUUGUUGGAACUAUUGACCCACUGUUAAUGGAUGACUAUAUAUUCUGGGUUUUAUAUUGGGACAGGUUUUAGCAAUCAAUAUUCUAGAAAUUAUGAGACUAUAAACUCCUCGAGUAUCUGUGUUAUUGAAGAAUAAAGCAAAAUAGACUUCAGGAAAAUAAAAGGGAUAAACAGACAACUGUUACUAUACAAAUCCUUCAUUUCCAGGGAAACAGUUAUUGCUCCCAGGAUUACGAAAGAACACGCUAUUGCCAAGUGUGUCUGAUGAAACUUGCGUUUUUCUGAAGCCUACUAAAUGGGCAAUGUACUAAUAAGAGUUGCCUCUUGAAUGUAACAUAAACUGUUAAGGUGUUAAGGUCUGAAAUGUUCUUUAAAAUUGAGCUGUUAGAAUCAAUCUUUUCUGCUUAAGGAGUUUUGGUCAACAAAUUGUAAUUAUAUAUACUUAUGAGGUACAAUGUAAUGUUUUGAUAUACGCAUAAAAUGUGUCAAGAUUAAAGCAAGCUAAUUAACAUGCUGUCACCUUGUUUACGUAGCAUUUUUUUAAAUGGUGAGACAUUUGAAGUUUACUUUUCUAGUUAUUUUGAAACAUAUAUCACUGUGAACUAUAGCCCCACCAGUCCACAAUAGAUGUCAAACCUGUCUCCUGUCUAUUUGGAACUUCGUACCCUUUGGUUGACAGUUCUGC